Molecule: microRNA precursor, 52 nt
Filed under: Marmota monax (woodchuck)
Lineage: Eukaryota; Metazoa; Chordata; Mammalia; Rodentia; Sciuridae
Description: mir-1302 microRNA precursor family
Rfam family: mir-1302 microRNA precursor family
Source: Rfam by way of RNAcentral
UUUUUAGGAUAAGUAUGGCUCAUAUAAUAUUUGGGCCAUACUUGUCCUAAAU